Gallus gallus (chicken) is the source of this 588-nucleotide long non-coding RNA. Lineage: Eukaryota; Metazoa; Chordata; Aves; Galliformes; Phasianidae. The record is from Ensembl.
CCUUUAGGAACUUAAUCCUACAGGGCCCUGAUAAAAACCGCAAACAUCUCCCAGCAGAAUGCUGGUUCCCAAGCAGAAUUCACUGUGAGCUGUGUUUGCUUUGGGCUUCUGUAAUGGCAUGUGACUCAACCAGAAAAGUUGCCAGGUGGAUAAUAUCAAGAGGAGAAGACUGCUCAUUUCCAUAAGUUCUGUAUCAGAUCUGCCAAAUCCAUGUGGAUGCCAAGUUUCUGCUAUAGCAUCUCCAGUGGGUUGACUGACAGACUGGAACCUUCCAGAUGAGAUUCUGCUCAAAGCAACAGGCCCUGUGCAAGACCAAGAUUAACAGCUUGAAACCUUGUCAGAAAGGAAGAACUUCAUUUGAACCAUAAGUGCAAAAGAACUGCAAAAGACCCUGAGGCCAGAAGAAAAAGUAGCAAUAGGAAGGGUAAUUCUGGAGCAUGGUGGUGACAGAAGGCAGCCAGAAGGUGGAGGAUGCAGGCACAGGAAGGAUGGCAUAACUGGAGGGUUAAGGAAAAAGAGAUGAUUAUCUUUGACAAUUUACAGCAGACAGUGGUGUUUCACUCUGGAGGGGAUAAGAAGAAUCCUAAC